This 555-nucleotide ribosomal RNA is filed under the name uncultured bacterium. RNAcentral's name for it is "partial 16S ribosomal RNA". It matches the Rfam family "Bacterial small subunit ribosomal RNA", at positions 355 to 900 of the family's 1533-position model. The record is from RNAcentral.
UAGGGAAUCUUCCACAAUGGACGAAAGUCUGAUGGAGCAACGCCGCGUGAGUGAUGAAGGGUUUCGGCUCGUAAAACUCUGUUGUUGGAGAAGAACAGGUGAUAGAGUAACUGUUAUCAUCUUGACGGUAUCCAACCAGAAAGCCACGGCUAACUAUGUGCCAGCAGCCGCGGUAAUACGUAGGUGGCAAGCGUUGUCCGGAUUUAUUGGGCGUAAAGCGAGCGCAGGCGGUUUUUUAGGUCUGAUGUGAAAGCCUUCGGCUUAACCGGAGAAGGGCAUCGGAAACCGGGAGACUUGAGUGCAGAAGAGGACAGUGGAACUCCAUGUGUAGCGGUGAAAUGCGUAGAUAUAUGGAAGAACACCAGUGGCGAAGGCGGCUGUCUGGUCUGUAACUGACGCUGAGGCUCGAAAGCAUGGGUAGCGAACAGGAUUAGAUACCCUGGUAGUCCAUGCCGUAAACGAUGAGUGCUAAGUGUUGGAGGGUUUCCGCCCUUCAGUGCUGCAGCUAACGCAUUAAGCACUCCGCCUGGGGGAGUACGACCGCAAGGUUGAAAC